CAUCGAGUCGCAUGUCAGCAAGAGGAGAGCUUUCCUCGUCUUAUGAGGCUGGACCAGACCAUUCAAGCAUGUCUGCCCACCUCUAACACACUCUCCUCAUUCAGUUCUGUCACAUCCGCUGCCCAGCAUGUUUCGGUGUACAGCAAUCAUUCAGCCUCACUGUCUUUCAAUGUGGGGGAUGGGAGGUAAACCAGGCUUUCUUGCCUUACCUCCUGUUCCUUUUUCAUCUGCUGCUAAUGUGAUAGGAGACAUGUGCAGUUCUCUCCCAGAGCCAGCAGACCCUGUACCAGUCACAGACCAGGCCCUCACAUCAUUCCCUGUGGGCUUCCUCAUCCCGCAUCAGGACAAUGGACAAUGUAACCCCCUCUAGACCAUCUCGGUAGAGCCCUGAAUUUCAGUUCGGGGUAGUAUGGAGAAAUUUGAAUUAUUUAUUAUUAAUCUAAUGUUUUCUGAUCAAUGUCGCAAAGUUUAAGUUGAUCCUGUCUUGCCAUCUCCUCAUUGGUUGUACCUUUAGGGAAAAAUGCAUCUUUAUAGAUUUUAUAAUUAAAGUCUUCAAUUUGAAUUAUUUCAUUUUAAUCUAGCAAUUUAAAGCUUUCUAUAGAUAUAUUUAUCAAGUCUGUGAGGCAAGUAUUCGCUGAGUUUCGGUUCAUUUUGUGAAACUCUCCAGUUCAAGACUGAGACCACAGAAAGCGCAUCCUAUUUGUUUUCUUUAUUUAUAUAAAAGCUCAACAUUUUGUUGAUAUUGUGAAUGCACACAAAUAAAAGUUUACAGUUCUGAAUGAUGUAUACCAAAAAUAACUUGAAAGCCUGCAGUCCACCAACGAAUACUUGACACAUUAUAUUCAAUCACUUCCUCCAACCAUGCCACAAACAGUAAGCCUUGCCAUGCCUGAUAAAUUUGAUAGUUCAGUGGAUAAAUGUAGAGGUUUUAUCCGACAAGUAGAAAUUUAUUUUGACCACCAGAAAGACAAGUUUGCUUCUGAUACCCAGAAAUGUGCUUUUUUUGAUGACACUCCUUGCGGGAAGAGCGAUUACCUGGGCUGCUGCUGUUUGGGAGUUGGAUUAGCUAAUUCAUACCUCUUAUGAAUAUUUUAAACAACAGCUACAUGAUGUGUUUGAAUAUCCCGCUGGGGGCAGGGAUAUUUCUACACAAUUACUUCUUAUGUCUCAAAGAAAUCUUUCGGCAGCAGACUACACAGUGGAGUUCAGAAUGCUGGCAGCACAGAGUGGAUGGAAUGAUGUCUUGCUGAAAGCAGUUUUCCAGCGGAGCCUAACUCAGGAACUUCAAGCAGAACUGGCCUGCAAGGGAACCUAUGCAACUGUCUCUCAAGGCUCUCUGAGAAGGAGAGCAUUCAACGACAACAGCACAACUUGUGUUUCUAUUGUGGAGAGUCUGGACAUCAUAGGUUGAAAUGCCCAUACAAGACGUUCUCCAAUUCCACACCCUGGUGCUGAUUAACUCUGGAGCUGCCUUAAACCUCAUUCACAAAGACAUCAUCAAAUACAACAUUCCCACUCAAUGUUGUAAACCACCUAUCAAGAUCCGAGCAGUUAAUAACUCACCCAUUGGAGACGGUAAUGCCAUUCUGUAAUGCCAGGCCAGCAGAGGGAGCCCUCGCCUGAGUAUUGACUGCCACGCUCUCUCUGCCUCUCUGUGUUGAUUAUUGUGUAUGACUUCUUGCCUGUUUGCUUCUACUUCUGAUAAUUUGAAUUUUCUUGUGUUUUGGCCGUCGAUUGGACUGCUUGACUGUGUUUUGACAACUGCCUGUUUUCUGAUGCUGAUUCUGGAUUGCCUUUCAAAUAAACUUCUGCACAUGGAUUCUUACUCAGCUUUAGCCUCAUCGUUACAAUUAUAUACAAAACUGAACUAUUUUAAUAGCUGAAACA
Molecule: long non-coding RNA, 1887 nt
Organism: Cyprinus carpio (common carp)
Lineage: Eukaryota; Metazoa; Chordata; Actinopteri; Cypriniformes; Cyprinidae
Exons: 3
Source: RefSeq, a predicted model, not a curated record